This 1554-nucleotide ribosomal RNA is filed under the name Escherichia coli. RNAcentral describes it as "bacterial SSU rRNA". It matches the Rfam family "Bacterial small subunit ribosomal RNA". The record is from RNAcentral. Lineage: Bacteria; Pseudomonadati; Pseudomonadota; Gammaproteobacteria; Enterobacterales; Enterobacteriaceae.
AAAUUGAAGAGUUUGAUCAUGGCUCAGAUUGAACGCUGGCGGCAGGCCUAACACAUGCAAGUCGAACGGUAACAGGAAGCAGCUUGCUGCUUUGCUGACGAGUGGCGGACGGGUGAGUAAUGUCUGGGAAACUGCCUGAUGGAGGGGGAUAACUACUGGAAACGGUAGCUAAUACCGCAUAACGUCGCAAGACCAAAGAGGGGGACCUUAGGGCCUCUUGCCAUCGGAUGUGCCCAGAUGGGAUUAGCUAGUAGGUGGGGUAAAGGCUCACCUAGGCGACGAUCCCUAGCUGGUCUGAGAGGAUGACCAGCCACACUGGAACUGAGACACGGUCCAGACUCCUACGGGAGGCAGCAGUGGGGAAUAUUGCACAAUGGGCGCAAGCCUGAUGCAGCCAUGCCGCGUGUAUGAAGAAGGCCUUCGGGUUGUAAAGUACUUUCAGCGGGGAGGAAGGGAGUAAAGUUAAUACCUUUGCUCAUUGACGUUACCCGCAGAAGAAGCACCGGCUAACUCCGUGCCAGCAGCCGCGGUAAUACGGAGGGUGCAAGCGUUAAUCGGAAUUACUGGGCGUAAAGCGCACGCAGGCGGUUUGUUAAGUCAGAUGUGAAAUCCCCGGGCUCAACCUGGGAACUGCAUCUGAUACUGGCAAGCUUGAGUCUCGUAGAGGGGGGUAGAAUUCCAGGUGUAGCGGUGAAAUGCGUAGAGAUCUGGAGGAAUACCGGUGGCGAAGGCGGCCCCCUGGACGAAGACUGACGCUCAGGUGCGAAAGCGUGGGGAGCAAACAGGAUUAGAUACCCUGGUAGUCCACGCCGUAAACGAUGUCGACUUGGAGGUUGUGCCCUUGAGGCGUGGCUUCCGGAGCUAACGCGUUAAGUCGACCGCCUGGGGAGUACGGCCGCAAGGUUAAAACUCAAAUGAAUUGACGGGGGCCCGCACAAGCGGUGGAGCAUGUGGUUUAAUUCGAUGCAACGCGAAGAACCUUACCUGGUCUUGACAUCCACGGAAGUUUUCAGAGAUGAGAAUGUGCCUUCGGGAACCGUGAGACAGGUGCUGCAUGGCUGUCGUCAGCUCGUGUUGUGAAAUGUUGGGUUAAGUCCCGCAACGAGCGCAACCCUUAUCCUUUGUUGCCAGCGGUCCGGCCGGGAACUCAAAGGAGACUGCCAGUGAUAAACUGGAGGAAGGUGGGGAUGACGUCAAGUCAUCAUGGCCCUUACGACCAGGGCUACACACGUGCUACAAUGGCGCAUACAAAGAGAAGCGACCUCGCGAGAGCAAGCGGACCUCAUAAAGUGCGUCGUAGUCCGGAUUGGAGUCUGCAACUCGACUCCAUGAAGUCGGAAUCGCUAGUAAUCGUGGAUCAGAAUGCCACGGUGAAUACGUUCCCGGGCCUUGUACACACCGCCCGUCACACCAUGGGAGUGGGUUGCAAAAGAAGUAGGUAGCUUAACCUUCGGGAGGGCGCUUACCACUUUGUGAUUCAUGACUGGGGUGAAGUCGUAACAAGGUAACCGUAGGGGAACCUGCGGUUGGAUCACCUCCUUACCUUAAAGAAGC